CGGCCCCGCCGCCUGCUCGAGAUCUGCAGUGGCUGCCGGGUGCGGAGCGCCGGCCGGGGGUGGGCUCUCCAGGGCUGCUAGGCCCCUGCCCUCACCUGCGGCCGCCCGGCCCCGCCCUAGGUGUGCCGUCAAUGGAUCAUGAAGAUGGAGGUGGUGGCUCAUGCCUGUUAAUCCCCACACUAUGAGAGGCUGAGGCAGGAGGAUCACUUGGGGCCAGUAGUUUGAGACCAGCCUGGGCAACAUGGCAAGACUCCAUCUCUACAAAAAAAUGCAAAAAGAAAUCAGUGGACCAUGUAUGUACACAUCUAUUUUGGAUUCAUGCCUGUAAGAUACUGAGCGUCGACCAGGCGCAGUGGCUCACAACUGUAAUCCCAGCACUUUGGGAGGCUGAGAUGGGUGGAUCACCUGAGCUCGGGAGUUCGAGACCAGCCUGAACAACAUGGAGAAACCCCAUCUCUACUAAAAAUACAAAAUUAGCUGGGCAUGGUGGCGCAUGCCUGUAAUCCCAGCUACUCGGGAGGCUGAGGCAGGAGAAUCGCUUGAACCUGGGAGGCAGGAAUUGCAGUGAGCUGAGAUUGAGCCAUUGCACUCCAACCUGGACAACAAGAGUGAAACUCCGUCUCAAAAAAAAUAAAAUAAAUAAAAGAUACUGAGCAUCUUUUGAUCUAUAUGUCUUUA
This 678-nucleotide long non-coding RNA is filed under the name Homo sapiens (human). Its description in RNAcentral is "non-protein coding lnc-KLF17-1:13". Lineage: Eukaryota; Metazoa; Chordata; Mammalia; Primates; Hominidae. The record is from RNAcentral.